Molecule: RNase P RNA, 344 nt
Filed under: human gut metagenome
Description: Bacterial RNase P class A
Rfam family: Bacterial RNase P class A
About the family: Ribonuclease P (RNase P) is a ubiquitous endoribonuclease, found in archaea, bacteria and eukarya as well as chloroplasts and mitochondria. Its best characterised activity is the generation of mature 5'-ends of tRNAs by cleaving the 5'-leader elements of precursor-tRNAs.
Source: RNAcentral
GGGUGCUGGACAGUCGCGGGGACAAGGCGAAAGCCUGUUCAUGAGGAAAGUCCGGGCUUCACAGGGCAAGGAUAGCGGGUAACGCCCGCCGAAGGCGACUUCAGGAAAAGUGCAACAGAGAUAUACCGCCGCGCCGCCUGCGGCGCGGUAAGGGUGGAAAGGCGAGGUAAGAGCUCACCCGACGGCGUGUGAAAGCGGCCGUCGCUGUAAACUCUAUCCGAAGCAACACCGGCAUGGGAGCUUAUAGGCCGGCCCGGCUGCUCCCGAGGUGGCUGGAGCGCACCGGCGACGGUGCGCCUAGAUAGAUGACUGUCAAAACAGAACCCGGCUUACAGGCACGCUCG